GAUGAAGAACGCAGCGAAAUGCGAUAAGUAAUGUGAAUUGCAGAAUUCAGUGAAUCAUCGAAUCUUUGAACGCACAUUGCGCCCGUCAGUAUUCUGGCGGGCAUGCCUGUUCGAGCGUCAUUACGCCCCUCAAGUCCCCUGUGGACUUGGUGUUGGGGAUCGGCGAGGCUGGUUUUCCAGCACAGCCGUCCCUUAAAUUAAUUGGCGGUCUCGCCGUGGCCCUCCUCUGCGCAGUAGUAAAACACUCGCAACGGGAGCCCGGCGCGGUCCACUGCCGUAAAACCCCCCAACUUUUUAUAGUUGACCUCGAAUCAGGUAGGACUACCCGCUGAACUUAAGCAUAUCAAUAAGCGGAGGA
RNAcentral lists this unclassified non-coding RNA (358 nucleotides) under soil metagenome. RNAcentral's name for it is "partial contains 5.8S ribosomal RNA, internal transcribed spacer 2, and large subunit ribosomal RNA". The stretch from base 1 to 120 matches the Rfam family "5.8S ribosomal RNA", at positions 35 to 154 of the family's 154-position model. The record is from RNAcentral.